UCUCCGUAGGUGAACCUGCGGAGGGAUCAUUACCAGAGAUGGCGGGCUCCGGCCCCCGUCCCCCAACCCUUUGUUGAUAAAACCCUUUUGCCUCGGGGGCAGAGCGUCCGCCGCCGCCCCAAAGGACCACCGAACGCUGUCUCUUUACGUCGGAGUAUUGAUUAAAUGAAUGAAAACUUUCAACAACGGAUCUCUUGGUUCUG
RNAcentral lists this unclassified non-coding RNA (203 nucleotides) under plant metagenome. RNAcentral describes it as "partial contains small subunit ribosomal RNA, internal transcribed spacer 1, and 5.8S ribosomal RNA". The record is from RNAcentral.